Molecule: ribosomal RNA, 253 nt
Filed under: uncultured bacterium
Lineage: Bacteria
Description: partial 16S ribosomal RNA
Rfam family: Bacterial small subunit ribosomal RNA
Source: RNAcentral
UACGAAGGGGGCUAGCGUUGUUCGGAAUCACUGGGCGUAAAGCGCACGUAGGCGGAUUUUUAAGUCAGGGGUGAAAUCCCGAGGCUCAACCUCGGAACUGCCUUUGAUACUGGAGAUCUUGAGUCCGGAAGAGGUAAGUGGAACUGCGAGUGUAGAGGUGAAAUUCGUAGAUAUUCGCAAGAACACCAGUGGCGAAGGCGGCUUACUGGUCCGGAACUGACGCUGAGGUGCGAAAGCGUGGGGAGCAAACGGG